AUUGAACGCCGGCGGCAUGCUUUACACAUGCAAGUCGAACGGCAGCGGGGGCUUCGGCCUGCCGGCGAGUGGCGAACGGGUGAGUAAUGCAUCGGAACGUGCCCAUGUCGUGGGGGAUAACGUAGCGAAAGCUACGCUAAUACCGCAUACGUCCUGAGGGAGAAAGCGGGGGAUCUUUGGACCUCGCGCGAUUGGAGCGGCCGAUGUCGGAUUAGCUAGUAGGUGAGGUAAAGGCUCACCUAGGCGACGAUCCGUAGCGGGUCUGAGAGGAUGAUCCGCCACACUGGGACUGAGACACGGCCCAGACUCCUACGGGAGGCAGCAGUGGGGAAUUUUGGACAAUGGGGGCAACCCUGAUCCAGCCAUGCCGCGUGAGUGAAGAAGGCCU
Molecule: ribosomal RNA, 388 nt
Filed under: uncultured bacterium
Lineage: Bacteria
Description: bacterial SSU rRNA
Rfam family: Bacterial small subunit ribosomal RNA
Source: RNAcentral